GAGCAGGAUCCCCGGGGAAACUGGAUGAGGUCAGGCAGCGUUCAGUGCCGCUGCCACGCUAGACCUUGGAGAGGCUUCUCCUCCCAGCAGUUUCUGCUGCCCGAGUUUGGGAAGGCACAACAACACAGCUGCUAUCCAAAGAGGGCAGCCCACAAGCAGCGAUUUCCCUCAUUUCCCACCUGGUGCCUCUUCAGUUCUGGAAACAGUAAUAGCAAUACAGAAUGGAGGUAACAGAGCAGGGAGUAAAGCCCUACAAAGACUGAGCAGCACACGGGGCAGGCGAGCGAGCAGACACAUGCUGGGAAGGAUGUGCAGGAGCUCCGUGGCCACGCAGCCGAUGACACAUCGGAUUUUCCACAAUCCGACCCACGGAGCUCGCUGGAUGCAUCACCACCGGCUGGCACAGUGUCAGGCUGCAAGCGCAGAGCCUGCUCCCUCCUGCACCUCUGCCGGCAAGCCGCGGCUUGGAUCUCUGGGAAGAAAGGAGCAGGCUCUCGAAGAGACGGAUGUGCGGUCUCAACUCACCAAAACAGACUGUCAGAAAGACCGUGCCCCAAAAGUGCCGAGUCUUGCCCCUGGCAUGAGAGGAGAUCCCGUAAAUCUGGGCCAUCAACAAGAGCAGAGCACAUCACCCUUCCUGGCUGUCCCAGCACCGUCAGCCGGUGAAAGGGAAGGCAGAUGAAAAAGCACGGCUGUCUUCCACCUCCUUCUUGGAUCACUGCUCUGCAUAGGAUGGUCUUCCACAGAUGUGAGAGGGGUGGAAGGAGAUGAAGAGAAAAAGCCUCACUCCCAUCUCUCACUGGCUGCGCAGCACCCAGUCAGGCUCUGGCAUGCAUGUUUGUACAGGAAUUAGCAUGGGUUGUUUCUCAGGCUGUUUGGAGGCUGUAAAGUGCUUCAUUUCCAAUUAUUUCUGCCACGCUGAAACUGAAAAAGCCUGAUGUCCUGCAGAUUUGUAUUCUGUGACUGGUUAAAGCUUUUUUUAAUUCUCAAAUUAUUCAUAAAUUCUCUGCUGCAUAGACCUUCUGACAUCUAACAACAUAAUGCCACAACCAGGGCACUCAGAGACAAAGGCCCUUUCCUUUUUCCAAUCAUCUACGUUGGUGAAACUUCAAGAACAAUCAUCUUUGAGACCGCUCUCUCCCUGACAGAAUUGGCUAGAAUUGGCCAAAGGGUCAAAAACUCAGAGAGGCCAAGGUUUAGGCAGGCUGAGGCAGCAUGGUCCAGAAAACUAUCAGUCUGCCCAAUGUGAGAGAGCAAAAAAGUGUGUGGCAAGUCUCUGCAAGAAACAUUUCAUAAAAAAUGUAUCUCCCAUCUCUGCUUCUGCUCUUCAAAAUCAGUUACAAAGGCACUCACUAUUGUCCCUGAGGUUUCUCAUAAUCAGGUUUCUGUCUCUGGAAGGCAUCACUUUUCCACACAGCUCUGGAUGAAAUCCAAAGCACAAAUUAUGAGAUCCAUAUGAGGGAAGCAGAUGUUUCUAGGCAAUGUUUAUGGGGAACAGCAAAUCUUUGGGGAGACAUUGAAUUACAUUUUCUUUUAAGUAAAUACUCAAACUGUGCAAUAAAUAUCAAAAAUAUAAAACAUAAGGGUAGGGAGAUAGAGACAAAGGUGUAUGUAUCUUUGUUAAAAAAAGGUUAAAAGGCUUACAUAUAAUCAUUUGCAUUUUAGUGAUUCAACACAUUGGGCAAAUGGUGUGGAGCGCAGGAAGUCCCUCUGACAACCAAGGUUGCAAUGAGAAAUGUAGUAUCUUCUGCUGGGCUGGAGCUACACAUGGCUGCCCCUGGUCCCCAGAUGGAGCUGCUUGCUGCGCACCUCACCGUCCCACACCCAAACCCACUGACCUUCCACCAGUGAUUCUAAGACCAAAAAAAAAAAAAAAAAAAAAAGGAAAAAAGAAAAGAAAAAGACUCUUGUGAAGGGAGCAGCUUGUUCCUGUUUCACAGAGAGUAUGCUCUCUUGGUUUGGUCUGAUGCAAACAUAGCUAGAGCAGUCAUGAACUACUUGUCAGACAACCUUUGAAAAAGUGUCAGGUAGAGUAGCUCCUGAACGCUAUCAAGAUGACCUUUUUGUUGAAAUAUAAUGUCUGAUGCUAGGAACUGGGCCAAGUGAGGGAACUGGAGCUCCGCUUACUGUUGGCUUUGUUGUGCCUGUUAUUCUUCUCAUUGUUUAAAAUCAGACUGUACAUCAGCACCUUUUGCCAGGGGAAGAGCUUAACCACAUGGGAGCAACAUUCAGCUCCUGAAGCACAGUCAGCAUUUGCCAAUGGAGGAGCAGAUGGCUGGUACUCAUUUGCACAGUAGCUGUGCAAGCUCAUUUGAGAGAUCAUUUUGGUUUAAGAAGACAUUGCUGCUUUGGAGAGCUUGUAUACCUGUACUUUGGGUUAUGUAUUCAUCACUCAAAAAGACCGUGUGAAGAACUGGCAGAACUUAACAGAAGCACGACAAGG
Long non-coding RNA from Dromaius novaehollandiae (emu), 2443 nucleotides. RefSeq lists it as uncharacterized. The record is from RefSeq and is a predicted model, not a curated record. The transcript has 2 exons. NCBI's taxonomy places the organism in Eukaryota, Metazoa, Chordata, Aves, Casuariiformes, Dromaiidae.